UACGUAGGGGGCGAGCGUUGUCCGGAUUUAUUGGGCGUAAAGAGCUCGUAGGCGGUUUGGUAAGUUGGAUGUGAAAUCUCCAGGCUCAACUUGGAGGGGUCAUUCGAUACUGCCAUGACUAGAGUUCGGUAGGGGAGUGUGGAAUUCCUGGUGGAGCGGUGAAAUGCGCAGAUAUCAGGAGGAACACCGAUGGCGAAGGCAGGUCUCUGGGCAUUAACUGACGCUGAGGAGCGAAAGCAUGGGGAGCGAACAGG
Molecule: ribosomal RNA, 254 nt
Filed under: uncultured bacterium
Lineage: Bacteria
Description: partial 16S ribosomal RNA
Rfam family: Bacterial small subunit ribosomal RNA
Source: RNAcentral